CCUGCCUUCCUUCCAGGUGGAUACAUGGCAAAAUUGCAAUGAAAAGGGGGCUUGGAAGGGGCUGGAGGAUCUCAGGGGCCCAGGUGUUCACUCUGCAGUGUCAUCCCUGCUGGUGCAGAGAGAUGGAGAAAUCAUCAGCCCAGGCCAAAAUCUCAUACAGCGUGUGUUACUGCAGAGCUCCCUCUUGAGCAGCUCAUUCCAGCCUGGGUGACACUGCACACGCAGGCAUGGAGGGAAGGGACAGGAUGGGCUCUGCUGCACUGUGGAGAGCUCGGGGACUUGCACCCAGGGGUCUCUCUCAGAGAGAGGCAGCAUAGGGCUCCCUGGGACACAGCAGAGCAUGAGCCAAGCUGCACACAGACACAGCUGGAGUGGGGAACAUAGCCAGGCUUAGCUCCUGGAAUUUUAAAUGCCAUUUCAGUGGUUAUAUUUGGUGUGCUAUAAAACUUAAUUAGUAUAGCUCCAUGUGAUCCUGUGUAAAAUCUUGUCUUCAUCCCAAAGAAGGGAUGUGCUGGAAGCACUUGAAGCAGCCCCAGAGAGAGAAAUCUCAGCUCCAGACAGUCACUGCCUGCACUCGACCAGAGCCUCCUCAUACAAAUUGAAAAAUACCACUGAAAAAAACCCACUGAAACUGAGGAAUUUCAGCCUCUGGACUCCAAGAUGCUCCUUAAACUUAAACCCUGUAAGGCAAUCAAGUGUGGUUUUUUCAUCCCCAAGGUAAGUAUACAGAACAAGAGCCUGAAGAGAAGAAACAAGAUGUCCUGGUCACAACAUCUGGCUUAAGCCCACCAUGCUGGCUGAGGCUGGAGUUAUUAGCAGCAGUAACAAAGGAGGCUCAGACUAGAACCUAAGUCUGAGAAGGGUUAAUGGGUUCCAUCAUACCACCGGAGUCUUUAACUCUAGGUGUGGUUUCUUCUUCAGCUGAGAGAUGUCCCAUGAACCUGUCCUGAAGUGGCAAAGAGCUCAAUGCCCAGCUCUGAAGGACCACUGUUCAUACAGGUUCACUCACACUAAUUCCAACUUGGACCUUUCCUGACCUACAUCUCCUAAGGACUUCAUCAAUUUGUGUUCAUUCUUCCUUCUUUUAGCUGACUUAGAAGUAUGACCUCUUACUGUGGUUCUGAACUGACCUGUGUUAAAAGCUGGAGUUCAGCUGAAGUGCCAGCAGGGAUUUCAACAAGGUGGUAUUACACAAGUCAUACCUACUCACUGCAUGCACACAGCUGACAGAAUCACUCCAGGUGAUUCUGCUUUCUUCAGGACAAGAACUAAUCCAUCAGGAAGGUUUCACUGUCAUCACUGUUCCAGGAGACAGGGUGUGAAUUCAGUCAAGAGGCCCACUUGAGCUGUACUUGGCAUCUCUAUCUCCACAUUUCUCAGUCCAAGAACCAAGGCAGAGGGCUGAUACCACUGGCUGCUCUCUGCCCUUGCCAUAGCCUGAGCCCAAGCACGCAUGACAUGUAGCCUUCCUUUUAACACUGGAACACACAUAAAGAACUGUAAAUGGUGACCAACAAACUGGGGAACAAUUAAUGACUACCAGGCAUCCCUGUUCUAUCCCUGUGAAAAAUCCAGUCUGCGAGACUCAGUGCACAGUUUACCAGAUGUACCUUCAAAAGGCAGAGCCACUUUUUCUUUGGCCCUGGCAUCGGGUCAGAAGAACUUGUCCAUAUGUCACAUGCACUGGUCUCUGUCAACAGAGCUUGAUCUAGAAAGUAAAAGGCAGUGCUUCUCUUUCAUAAAGCCAGUUGCAUCAGAGGUCAUCAUUAGCUCAUCAUAUUUUGAUGCCAGGAGUCUUAGCUAGAACUUUUGUACCUUCUUUUCAAUAUUAAUUAACUAUAAGAACAUCUAAAGGCGAGGGUCCCAUUGGAAACAUUUUGCUUCUUACUACAUGGACCUUUUCUCUGCUUGCUUGUGACUCCACAUUGGGAAGAAACUUCCCUUCCUUGCAAUGUAAUGUGACCUUAGUUUCCUCAUACCACCACUAUUUUGCUGAAAAUAAGAGAACUGCAGGAUAAGCCUUGUUUUGGUUGGAAUGGCAAAACAUUACCAGUGUUUGAAGGUCUAUAAAAUAACUUCAAUUUCUAAAAUUUUUAAUAUAGUUUUUCCACUUCAUCCAUUUCUCAGAGACAACAUAAGAUCAUUCUUUACAUUGUACAUUCUGGAAUGCUACAAGCAUUCUUAUUGGGUUUUGUUUGUUUGGGUUUUUUUUUUUUUUUAAAUUGACCAAUCAAACCUUUUCAAUUGUCUUAAAUCCACCGUUUGGCAUAGCAAGGAGAACAAGCCUGUAACUCUUCUCAUCUCCACAUUUGAGGUCUGCCUCUGCUGACACUGCCAUGAAACAUGCCCAUUUCAUCCUGACUGAUUAAAAAAAAAGUACUCAUAAUGAACUGUUCUCAUAUUAAGCCAUGUGAUAAACAUUUUCAGUCAACACAGUCCUGAAAAGAUGAAAGGACUUGCAAGUAACAACUAGCUAGAAUAUAAAUUCACUACCAGUGCCUGCUGCCUUUUUAAAACCUAGCAAUCCAUCUACCCUCCAGUGCUUUAGUGCUACAUCUUAUACCCUUCCACGAACAAAUGAAGACACAACAGAAACCUGUUGAAAUCUCUAAAGCCAUGUAAAACCCGAAGGCAUUAAAAUUUAUUAAAUGAUGCAAUAACAACAGAAUUCUUUAUUUACAAUAGCAUUAUUUAACAUCAAAUAAGCAAAUAGCAUCAGCAAAGCAAUAUUAACUUGCAUAAAUGUAUUUAAAAUUUCUCUGAAUAUAUCUACCUUUGCAUAAACUGCUAACACUAGAAAUACAAACAUCAAUGCAGGUGAACAAAGUGAUGUUCAGAGUCAACUCCGUUUUGAAAAUAAAUCACAACCUGAAACACUGUAAGCUUUCUCCUGAAGAACCAUAGUUUAUAUAUUGCUUAAUUUUACCCUUGUAUAAUCUUUUCAUAUACACACAUCUCAGAUGCAACUUCAUGAUGAACUGUACAAAUAAAACCCACAAAUGACAUAAAGGGAAAAAAAAUUAAAUGACAGUAAAUGUUUGAAGAAAUGUGUCCAUCAUCUCUAUUGAACAACAUAAAGAUUAAGUGAUGAUGCACUUAUUCCAAAAUUGUACACAAUUCACUAUACAAAUAUAAUACAUCAGACAGCUAUGUAGGAAUAUACAAGACUUAAAAACAGAUCUAAGGCAUUAUGCUAGAUUUUAGCAUUUUGAGGUUCUUGCACAUAGCUUUUACCUGUAGUAAGAAACUUAAAAGAUUUUGUUUUAGUCUACAAAGAAACACCAGGGAGAAAAUUCUAAUUAAAAUCAAAGCCACUACAGUAAAUUUUCUUUUGUGCAGAGAAUGCUUUUGCUCUUAGGCAGCAUACUACCAUACAAAUACUAGAAAACUUUUAAAUUCACACCAACAAUUAAUGGCUUAAGUUGCAUUUCAAAACUGAUUGUGUAUCUUUGGGUUCUGCAAGUGGAGCUGUGCCACCCAUUUCUUCUGUUAAGCCCAUAUGAAUUCCGCUUUUAAACAAAGAUUAAAAAAUGUAUUGUAUAAACUGCAAAAACAUUGCUUUUAAUUAAUACAGGCCCAAAGGGAUACCGGUGUGGGACAAUAUUUUAAGGAUUGAGUACAAAUUAACUCCUUGUAGCAAAACAGCUCACUUCACUUUUUAAACUCACCACAUUACAUGAACACUUAAACGGGUCGUACGACCAUGUAUAUAUGCUUAUUUUUCACAUUAUGCGCCUUUCACAUUUAAUAAUGUAAAUAGAACACUGAUUAAUUGUUCUCUUAAAACAAAAUCCAAGUACUUUCUCUGACAAAUUUACUGUAUACAGGAUGAAAAAUACUGAUAAUGAAGGGAAUUGAUUUGGCUUUUUUGUUUCUAUAGUGAUCAAUAUGAUCAGAAGAUUCCUUCACUCACUUUUCUCUUUCAUUACUUAGAAGACGACAAAAGUCACAAUGAACCCAAACGGAGCCAAUGUGAUAGGUACAAUCUCCUUUCUUUCAAAAUGGCAAUGGAUGAUGAAAUAUCAUAAUCACUACAGAUAAGGGUUUGCAGGUCUGUUGUGAAAUGGGACAAAUUUAAACUAUUUUU
Molecule: long non-coding RNA, 4087 nt
Organism: Passer domesticus (house sparrow)
Lineage: Eukaryota; Metazoa; Chordata; Aves; Passeriformes; Passeridae
Exons: 2
Source: RefSeq, a predicted model, not a curated record